RNAcentral lists this ribosomal RNA (273 nucleotides) under uncultured bacterium. RNAcentral's name for it is "partial 16S ribosomal RNA". It matches the Rfam family "Bacterial small subunit ribosomal RNA", at positions 524 to 796 of the family's 1533-position model. The record is from RNAcentral.
AACGUAGGGGGCGAGCGUUGUCCGGAAUUACUGGGCGUAAAGGGUGCGUAGGCGGUCGUUUAAGUCCUGUGUGAAAGGCCCCGGCUUAACCGGGGAGAGCCAUGGGAAACUGGGCGACUUGAGUGUCGGAGAGGGUUGCGGAAUUCCCGGUGUAGCGGUGAAAUGCGUAGAGAUCGGGAGGAACACCAGUGGCGAAGGCGGCAACCUGGACGAUGACUGACGCUGAGGCACGACAGCUGGGGGAGCAAACAGGAUUAGAAACCCCCGUAGUCC